UACGUAGGGUGCGAGCGUUAAUCGGAAUUACUGGGCGUAAAGCGUACGCAGGCGGCUAGGUAAGACAGAUGUGAAAUCCCCGGGCCUAACCUGGGAACUGCAUUUGUGACUGCCUGGCUCGAGUCCGUCAGAGGGGGGUGGAAUUCCACGUGUAGCAGUGAAAUGCGUAGAUAUGUGGAGGAACACCGAUGGCGAAGGCAGCCCCCUGGGAUGAGACUGACGCUCAGGUACGAAAGCGUGGGGAGCAAAC
RNAcentral lists this ribosomal RNA (250 nucleotides) under uncultured bacterium. Its description in RNAcentral is "partial 16S ribosomal RNA". It matches the Rfam family "Bacterial small subunit ribosomal RNA", at positions 524 to 773 of the family's 1533-position model. The record is from RNAcentral.